Molecule: ribosomal RNA, 580 nt
Filed under: uncultured bacterium
Lineage: Bacteria
Description: partial 16S ribosomal RNA
Rfam family: Bacterial small subunit ribosomal RNA
Source: RNAcentral
UGGGGAAUUUUGGACAAUGGGCGAAAGCCUGAUCCAGCAAUGCCGCGUGUGUGAAGAAGGCCUUCGGGUUGUAAAGCACUUUUGUCCGGAAAGAAAUCCUUGGCUCUAAUACAGUCGGGGGAUGACGGUACCGGAAGAAUAAGCACCGGCUAACUACGUGCCAGCAGCCGCGGUAAUACGUAGGGUGCAAGCGUUAAUCGGAAUUACUGGGCGUAAAGCGUGCGCAGGCGGUUUGCUAAGACCGAUGUGAAAUCCCCGGGCUCAACCUGGGGACUGCAUUGGUGACUGGCAGGCUAGAGUAUGGCAGAGGGGGGUAGAAUUCCACGUGUAGCAGUGAAAUGCGUAGAGAUGUGGAGGAAUACCGAUGGCGAAGGCAGCCCCCUGGGCCAAUACUGACGCUCAUGCACGAAAGCGUGGGGAGCAAACAGGAUUAGAUACCCUGGUAGUCCACGCCCUAAAACGAUGUCAACUAGUUGUUGGGGAUUCAUUUCCUUAGUAACGUAGCUAACGCGUGAGGUUGACCGCCUGGGGAGUACGGUCGCAAGAUUAAAACUCAAAUGAAUUGACGGGGUCAUAGCUG